AAUCAAUCUCAACUAACACCUUGUGUGUGAGUUGGAUAUGGGGGUCUGCUGUGUUCACAGCUCCUCCUAAAUAUGUUAGCCGUUGGGUGAUGAACCGCUGUAGGCUUGAUAUCAUGUCUAUGCUGCAGUUGUACAUGUUCCUUGGCUUAUAAUCGUCUUUGGACAAUGAG
This 170-nucleotide unclassified non-coding RNA is filed under the name uncultured Agaricomycetes. Its description in RNAcentral is "sequence contains ITS2". Lineage: Eukaryota; Fungi; Basidiomycota; Agaricomycetes. The record is from RNAcentral.